GAUGAACGCUGGCGGCGUGCCUAAUACAUGCAAGUCGAGCGAACAGACGAGGAGCUUGCUCCUCUGACGUUAGCGGCGGACGGGUGAGUAACACGUGGAUAACCUACCUAUAAGACUGGGAUAACUUCGGGAAACCGGAGCUAAUACCGGAUAAUAUAUUGAACCGCAUGGUUCAAUAGUGAAAGACGGUUUUGCUGUCACUUAUAGAUGGAUCCGCGCCGCAUUAGCUAGUUGGUAAGGUAACGGCUUACCAAGGCAACGAUGCGUAGCCGACCUGAGAGGGUGAUAGGCCACACUGGAACUGGGACACGGUCCAAACUCCUACGGGAGGCAGAAGUAGGGAAUCUUCCGCAAUGGGCGAAAGCCGGACGGAGCAACGCCGCGUGAGUGAUGAAGGUCUUCGGAUCGUAAAACUCUGUUAUUAGGGAAGAACAAAGGUGUAAGUAACUAUGCACGUCUUGACGGUACCUAAGCAGAAAGCCACGGCUAACUACGUG
This 497-nucleotide ribosomal RNA is filed under the name uncultured bacterium. RNAcentral describes it as "partial 16S ribosomal RNA". It matches the Rfam family "Bacterial small subunit ribosomal RNA", at positions 28 to 507 of the family's 1533-position model. The record is from RNAcentral.